RNAcentral lists this ribosomal RNA (2034 nucleotides) under marine metagenome. RNAcentral describes it as "bacterial LSU rRNA". It matches the Rfam family "Bacterial large subunit ribosomal RNA", at positions 3 to 2086 of the family's 2925-position model. The record is from RNAcentral.
UCAAGCGACUAAGUGCAUAUGGUGGAUGCCUUGGCGAUCACAGGCGAAGAAGGGCGUGGUAGCCUGCGAAAAGCUACGGGGAGCUGGCAAACAAGCAUUGAUCCGUAGAUGUCCGAAUGGGGAAACCCACCGCGUAAGCGGUAUCCCAGACUGAAUACAUAGGUCUGAGGAGGCGAACCGAGCGAACUGAAACAUCUCAGUAGCUCGAGGAAAAGAAAUCAACCGAGAUUCCGAAAGUAGUGGCGAGCGAAAUCGGAAGAGCCUGUACGUUUUAGCUGUUGCAAUAGUUGAAUGGGAUGGAAAGCCCAGCCAUAGCAGGUGAUAGCCCUGUAGACGAAAUUGCGGCGGUGGAACUAAGCGUACGAUAAGUAGGGCGGGACACGUGUAAUCCUGUCUGAAGAUGGGGGGACCAUCCUCCAAGGCUAAAUACUCGUGAUCGACCGAUAGUGAACAAGUACCGUGAGGGAAAGGCGAAAAGAACCCCGGAAGGGGAGUGAAAUAGAUCCUGAAACCGUAUGCAUACAAACAGUAGGAGCCUCGCAAGGGGUGACUGCGUACCUUUUGUAUAAUGGGUCAGCGACUUACAUUCAGUGGCAAGCUUAACCGAAUAGGGAAGGCGUAGCGAAAGCGAGUCCGAAUAGGGCGUCUAGUCGCUGGGUGUAGACCCGAAACCAGGUGAUCUAUCCAUGGCCAGGUUGAAGGCACGGUAACACGUGCUGGAGGACCGAACCCACUAAUGUUGAAAAAUUAGGGGAUGAGCUGUGGAUAGGGGUGAAAGGCUAAACAAACCUGGAGAUAGCUGGUUCUCUCCGAAAGCUAUUUAGGUAGCGCCUCACGUAUUACUGCCGGGGGUAGAGCACUGUUAUGGCUAGGGGGUCAUGGCGACUUACCAAACCAUGGCAAACUCCGAAUACCGGCAAGUACAGCGUGGGAGACAGAGCACCGGGUGCUAACGUCCGGACUCAAGAGGGAAACAACCCAGACCGCCAGCUAAGGUCCCAAACUAUCGCUAAGUGGGAAACGAAGUGGGAAGGCAUAGACAGUCAGGAGGUUGGCUUAGAAGCAGCCAUCCUUUAAAGAAAGCGUAAUAGCUCACUGAUCGAGUCGUCCUGCGCGGAAGAUGUAACGGGGCUAAGCGAUAGACCGAAGCUGCGGGUGUGCAAUUUAUUGCACGCGGUAGGAGAGCGUUCCGUAAGCCUGCGAAGGUAGCUUGUAAAGGCUGCUGGAGGUAUCGGAAGUGCGAAUGCUGACAUGAGUAGCGAUAAAGGGGGUGAAAAGCCCCCUCGCCGUAAGUCCAAGGUUUCCUGCGCAACGUUCAUCGGCGCAGGGUGAGUCGGCCCCUAAGGUGAGGCAGAGAUGCGUAGCUGAUGGGAAGCUGGUUAAUAUUCCAGCACCAUUGUAUGGUGCGAUGGGGGGACGGAUUGCGGAAGGUUAUCAGGGUGUUGGAUGUCCCUGUUGCUGCAUUGGAGAAGGCGUUUAGGUAAAUCCGGGCGCGUAAUUCAAGGGUGUGGCACGAGCGAACUUGUUCGCGUAGUAACUGGAAGUGGUUCCAAGAAAAGCCUCUAAGCUUCAGCCAUACAAGACCGUACCGCAAACCGACACAGGUGGACGGGAUGAAUAUUCCAAGGCGCUUGAGAGAACUCAGGAGAAGGAACUCGGCAAAUUGAUACCGUAACUUCGGGAGAAGGUAUGCCUCGGUAGUGUGAAGGGCUCGCGCCCGGAGCAUGAUGAGGCCGCAGAGAAUCGGUGGCUGCGACUGUUUAUUAAAAACACAGCACUCUGCUAAGACGAAAGUCGACGUAUAGGGUGUGACGCCUGCCCGGUGCCGGAAGGUUAAUUGAUGGGGUGCAAGCUCUUGAUCGAAGCCCCGGUAAACGGCGGCCGUAACUAUAACGGUCCUAAGGUAGCGAAAUUCCUUGUCGGGUAAGUUCCGACCUGCACGAAUGGCGUAACGAUGGCCACACUGUCUCCUCCUGAGACUCAGCGAAGUUGAAGUGUUUGUGAUGAUGCAAUCUACCCGCGGCUAGACGGAAA